GCGUCAUAACUUGUAAAAGCUUUAUUGUAUGCACAUAGUAAAAUUGUGCCCAUUUUUGGGGUCAUUUAAUAACUGUGAAUACGUCACUACGGUCGUCUUGGGGAGAAUUAAUAGUUAUGUCGCACUACCGUGAUCAGAAUUCGAUAACUUUAGGUUCAGAUCGAGAGAGACGCUUGACUGUCGAGAGAAGAGAGUGUUGCAGAUGUCAUAACACAUGCUGUGUACUAUUGGGAGUCACCAUACUUCUGAGUAUUUCUGCAUCUAUACUGUCUGCAGUACUUUGUAUAAAGCUUGAUAUCAGUCUAUCCGAAAAUCAAGAUGAUGGAAAAAUUUGUUUUACAACCACUGACCUGAAACUCUCCCCAUUUCCAGACCAAGAAAGUGAAAUUGAAAAGUUAAGUAAAGAGGUGAAUGAUGAUCAAUUUAUGUAUUGUGCUAGCACUCCACAACAAAUGCAGAUAAUACUAAAUUGGGUUAUUGAUAACAAGACAAAAACUUAUGUGGAUAAAUAUUAUGACAAUCUCACGAAUAAUUUAUUGGAGGGAAAUGCGGUCAGUGCGCAUGUAUUAAUAGAUGCUCGUGAUGUAUCAAUAGCCAAUACAGCGAAACUGUUUAAAUCGAGGUCGCUGUCUCACUAUGAUGGAAUUAACAUAGGUCCACAUAAACUCGUUAUCAAAACUAAGGGGACCUACUUUUUGUAUAGUCAAAUUUAUUUCAAGCUUAUUCCCGGUACAAAUUACCAUCAGCCAAUGAACACAAAUUUUAAAUUAUCCCACCAAGUCGUCCGAUUUCGACAAUCGUGUCCGAAACAGACCGGUCAAGAGGAACUUCUUCGGAACGAGCAUCAAACACGCGUCAAGAAAGGUGAGGUCUACUUCAGCAGCAGCUUCGUUUCCGGUACUUUUGAAAUGAUUGCAGGAGAUGAGAUUGGCGUCAUGGUGACUAAUCUGAAUUACAUUGCGCGUACACCCGAAACAAAUUUCAUUGGCCUCUUUUUACUGGGAAAUAAUUCGUAAAUACAAUCAAAAUACAUUACAAAUUAAUAUGUGACCUAUGUAAGAAUCGUACAGGUUAAGUUGAAAUAUUUCUUUAUGCGUUUUAUAGAUAUUUGUAUCGGCCGAAAUGGAAUAUAUUAAUAUACUGCC
Patella vulgata (common limpet) is the source of this 1145-nucleotide long non-coding RNA. RefSeq lists it as uncharacterized. The transcript has 5 exons. NCBI's taxonomy places the organism in Eukaryota, Metazoa, Mollusca, Gastropoda, Patellidae. The record is from RefSeq and is a predicted model, not a curated record.